This is a long non-coding RNA of Brienomyrus brachyistius, 527 nucleotides long. RefSeq lists it as uncharacterized. The transcript has 3 exons. The record is from RefSeq and is a predicted model, not a curated record. NCBI's taxonomy places the organism in Eukaryota, Metazoa, Chordata, Actinopteri, Osteoglossiformes, Mormyridae.
UGAAUUCUCUCUUGCCUUUCCACCACCUUAACUACUGUGUGGUGAGCGAACUGGUGCAGAAAGACUGCUGUUGUAUCAUCCAGCCCAAAAACAUGAUAUGGUGAACUGGAUUUUCCAGAUAGUACCCGGGAAUGAAUGUGUGUUCCAGAGAGCCAUAAACCUGCAUAGGACAACUGGGAAUGGGACAAAGAAACUGUCGUGAAUGGGAUUUGUGGAGGAUGUCUGUGAUCGUACACAAGGAUCUGAGAGAACCUUCAGCUGUGAUUUUGGAGAUAGAUGUACAGGAAUCUAUUCGCAUCACUUGUACAUCACUUUGGACAAAAGUAUCUGCUAAAUAUAAUUAAGCGUAAAGUGUGAAUGUAAAGGAGUCGUGCUGACCUGAAGUCUGAGGUCAGUCUUUCUGAGACUUACCUGUUGUGUAAAAAUGCUACUACUUGUCUUCUAUUUCUGCCAGUGAUUGUAGAGCACUCCUGUGAAUUACUAUACACGAUAUUGGCAAGACAACAUAUAGAUGUACUUGGUACAUA